AUUGUAUGACGUGCUUGCACUGAUUUCAACAAUGAAGCGAGUGGCGAACUGGUGAGUAACACGUGGGAAAUCUGCCCAGAAGCAGGGGAUAACACUUGGAAACAGGUGCUAAUACAGUAUAACAACAAAAUCCGCAUGGAUUUUGUUUGAAAGGUGGCUUCGGCUAUCACUUCUGGAUGAUCCCGCGGCGUAUUAGUUAGUUGGUGAGGUAAAGGCCCACCAAUGAUACGUAGCCGACCUGAGAGGGUAAUCGGCCACAUUGGGACUGAGACACGGCCCAAACUCCUACGGGAGGCAGCAGUAGGGAAUCUUCCACAAUGGACGAAAGUCUGAUGGAGCAAUGCCGCGUGAGUGAAGAAGGGUUUCGGCUCGUAAAACUCUGUUGUUAAAGAAGAACACCGAGUAACUGUUCAAGGGUUGACGGUAUUUAACCAGAAAGCCACGGCUAACUACGUGCCAGCAGCCGCAAUACGUAGGUGGCAAGCGUUGUCCGGAUUUAUUGGGCGUAAAGCGAGCGCAGGCGGUUUUUUAAGUCUGAUGUGAAAGCCUUCGGCUUAACCGGAGAAGUGCAUCGGAAACUGGGAGACUUGAGUGCAGAAGAGGACAGUGGAACUCCAUGUGUAGCGGUGGAAUGCGUAGAUAUAUGGAAGAACACCAGUGGCGAAGGCGGCUGUCUAGUCUGUAACUGACGCUGAGGCUGCAAAGCAUGGGUAGCGAACAGGAUUAGAUACCCUGGUAGUCCAUGCCGUAAAAGUGCUAAGUGUUGGAGGGUUUCCGCCCUUCAGUGCUGCAGCUAACGCAUUAAGCACUCCGCCUGGGGAGUACGACCGCAAGACUCAAAGGAAUUGACGGGGGCCCGCACAAGCGGUGGAGCAUGUGGUUUAAUUCGAAGCUACGCGAAGAACCUUACCAGGUCUUGACAUCUUCUGCCAAUCUUAGAGAUAAGACGUUCCCUUCGGGGACAGAAUGACAGGUGGUGCAUGGUUGUCGUCAGCUCGUGUCGUGAGAUGUUGGCUUAAGUCCCGCAACGAGCGCAACCCUUAUUAUCAGUUGCCAGCAUUCAGUUGGGCACUCUGGUGAGACUGCCGGUGACAAACCGGAGGAAGGUGGGGUUGACGUCAAAUCAUCAUGCCCCUUAUGACCUGGGCUACACACG
This 1156-nucleotide ribosomal RNA is filed under the name Levilactobacillus brevis. Its description in RNAcentral is "bacterial SSU rRNA". It matches the Rfam family "Bacterial small subunit ribosomal RNA", at positions 54 to 1222 of the family's 1533-position model. The record is from RNAcentral. Lineage: Bacteria; Bacillati; Bacillota; Bacilli; Lactobacillales; Lactobacillaceae.